GAAGAGUUUGAUCAUGGCUCAGAUUGAACGCUGGCGGCAGGCCUAACACAUGCAAGUCGAACGGUAACAGGAAGCAGCUUGCUGCUUUGCUGACGAGUGGCGGACGGGUGAGUAAUGUCUGGGAAACUGCCUGAUGGAGGGGGAUAACUACUGGAAACGGUGGCUAAUACCGCAUAACGUCGCAAGACCAAAGAGGGGGACCUUCGGGCCUCUUGCCAUCAGAUGUGCCCAGAUGGGAUUAGCUUGUUGGUGAGGUAACGGCUCACCAAGGCGACGAUCCCUAGCUGGUCUGAGAGGAUGACCAGCCACACUGGAACUGAGACACGGUCCAGACUCCUACGGGAGGCAGCAGUGGGGAAUAUUGCACAAUGGGCGCAAGCCUGAUGCAGCCAUGCCGCGUGUAUGAAGAAGGCCUUCGGGUUGUAAAGUACUUUCAGCGGGGAGGAAGGUGUUGUGGUUAAUAACCGCAGCAAUUGACGUUACCCGCAGAAGAAGCACCGGCUAACUCCGUGCCAGCAGCCGCGGUAAUACGGAGGGUGCAAGCGUUAAUCGGAAUUACUGGGCGUAAAGCGCACGCAGGCGGUCUGUCAAGUCGGAUGUGAAAUCCCC
This 609-nucleotide ribosomal RNA is filed under the name Salmonella enterica. Its description in RNAcentral is "bacterial SSU rRNA". It matches the Rfam family "Bacterial small subunit ribosomal RNA", at positions 1 to 604 of the family's 1533-position model. The record is from RNAcentral. Lineage: Bacteria; Pseudomonadati; Pseudomonadota; Gammaproteobacteria; Enterobacterales; Enterobacteriaceae.